Long non-coding RNA from Bombina bombina (fire-bellied toad), 2148 nucleotides. RefSeq lists it as uncharacterized. The record is from RefSeq and is a predicted model, not a curated record. NCBI's taxonomy places the organism in Eukaryota, Metazoa, Chordata, Amphibia, Anura, Bombinatoridae. The transcript is spliced from 3 exons.
UCCUGAAUAAAGUGCAUUUCUGUAGCUCUCUAGUAAAACAAGGGAUUACUGUGUACUCUGCUAGUUGUUAAUGCCACAAUGAUGAUUCUAUAUUUGCUACUCUUGACAGCUGGAAUGACGAGAGAGCUUUACCACCUCAUUAUAACUGAGGCAAAUCUUUAUCUGUGUGCGCAGUCUGGCUGCAGUUUCUUUGUCUAACACUUCUUGUCUUUCUCCAGAUGUACAAAGUCACUUGCGCUAUCCCUGGCUUUUCAGUCUUGAUUUCUGAUGUUCAAAUGUGUUUGAAAUUUACCACCAGAGGGCCAUGAGCAGGUUUGUACUUUAAUUCUUAAGCCUUACUGCAGCCAUUUAUUUAGUGCAUUAGACAAGUGGUACUUUCUAUAGCAGCCUGUAUUUGGAGAUCUUAAAGGAUAGAAUUCAGACAUUGUUUUCAGGUCUUUAGAAUUAUCCAGGUAUAUUUUGUUGAAGGUAGGAAUUGUGCAUGUUUACUAUAAAGCUUAGUGAUCUAAAUAUGUCCCCUAAUCUGACGUGACAACCCCUACAGGUGUUGAUGCUUCAUAAAUAAAAUGGAAAUAUUAAUUUACCAUAGGAUUAUAAAGUGCCAACAUAUUCCGCAGCGCUGUCCAUGGGUACAAUUUAAAAAUUUAUUGCAGGCUCAAGAUUUUUAAGUUGGUUACUGAGCUGUAGGAAAUGUUAAACUGAAGUCUGUCUUGGAAUUAACCAGCUUUGUUCUAGUUUAAAUAGCAAUUUAGAUCUCAUUAUUCUGAACCUUUAAAAUUGUUCAUUGACCUGACACAAUGAUGAAAACAUAGUUCAGCAGAUGGACCCUGAUGAAUAUUACAGCUUGUCUUUCGCUCCUAUCUGAUGUCAGAUGCAAUAACUGAUUUGAGAGUUUUCAUUGUACUUUUGCUAACAUUCUUUUCUCUAGGUGAUGUGCUGCACCAGUGUUUAGGUAAGUGUCUCAAUCCUCAAAUUACAUUUCCUUUUAGGUAGGAAAAACAUCAGUUUGUUUCUGUACCUUGUUUUAAUUUAAUAACUGCAAAUUAGAUGCAAUAAUAUAAAACAAGGUUUUAAAGGGGCAGUAAUGUCAAAAUAAAACAAAUUGAUUGGAUAGAGGGAAAUUUGAAACGGUUUCAAAUUUUACUUUUACUUUGUUCUCUUGGUAUAAUUUAAAAGUAAUCCUAGGUGAGCUCAGGAGCGUGCAGUGUUUGCAUCAUUGUAUAACUGCAAUAAACAAACACAGCUGCCAUAAACUGCUAAAAGCUCACAAACACUCUUAACCUGUUAACCUACCUAGGUUUAUGCUUAAAGGGACACUAUACACUCAUUUUCAUAUAACUGCAUGUAAUAGACACUACUAUAAAGAAUAAUAUGCACAGAUACUGAUAUAAAAAUCCAGUAUAAAACAGUUUAAAAAUUUACUUAGAAGCUGUCAGUUUAGCUCUGUUUAAAAGGUAGCUGGAAAGCCCACUGCAAGUGGAAAAAUAAGACACUCCCCCCUCCCCCUUAUUUUGCAUAUGAAAAGACCCUUUACACAAACAAGCUGGAGAAGGUAGCUGACAGUAUUCACAUAAAACUUUGGGGCUUGGUUAGGAGUCUGAAAAUCAGAGCAAUGUUAUUUAAAAAUAAGCAAAACUAUACAUUUAUUUAAAAGAAAAACUUUAUAGGCUAUAUAAAUCAUCUACAAAACAUUUAUGCAAGGAAAAAAUGAGUGCAUAAUGUCCCUUUAAACAAAACCAAUCUGAUAGAGCAUCCACCAGAGAACAAGUAUUUAAAGUAGAUCUAAAUAAGGUGAUUAAUCUGACACCAAGAUGAAAACAUAGUUCAGCAGAUGGACCCUGAUGAAUAUUACAGCUUGUCUUUCGCUCCUAUCUGAUGUGUCAGAUGCAAUAAUGGAUUCUUGAGGGUUUUCAUUGUACUCUUUUGCUAACCUUAUUUUUUUCUCUAGGUCAUUGGGUCAUGUUCUGCACCAGUGUUUGGUGUAAGAUCAUGCCUGGUUGAAGAUGGAAGUACAGGUCAUGUAACAUUUAAGGACUGAAGAAAUUUACCAGAUGUAGGUGGGUCUCUGCCAAAACUGAUGAAGGUUGCUAAUCAUCCUGACACUAUGAUGAUCACAUAGUUCAACAGAAUAACCCUGAUGAACGUCUU